GGAAAUCAUGGAUGGCAAAAUGGUUGAUGGAAGCUUGAUGGAUUGACCAAAAAUAUGAUCGGAUGGGCGAUAUGAUGGAAUGCAAGUUAUGAUCCUGAAAACAAAUGUAAAAACAAAUGAGAUAUGAUUUCUAAUAUGAUAAAACAAGAUAAAUAAAGAUAGAUAGGAUGGAAUUAGGCUGCUGGUCGUGUGACACUCUCAGCCUAAUCAGUUGAUGAUUAAAGUGGAUUGAGAUGGUGCUUUGCUUGCUGGAUGUGUAUCACUCUCAAGCUUGGCAAACGAAAUGGAAUGGAAGGAUGGUGGAUUGAGGACGCCACAAGACUCUAUGGAAAGGAGUCUUGAUAAGUCAAGAUGCUCUGGAGCUGCUUCACACACACUCAAAAGACUUAGAACAAUAGUUUUGACAAAACUAGAAAAACUGAAUAAUUCAUAUUAAUUUCAAAGAUGGGGUGAUUUACAAAGAUUAAGGACUUGAGCUUAUAUAGGCUCGACUAAGACACUUUCUAACAGUCUAAAAUUGACUAAAGGAAACAAAUAAAUCGAAAUAAAAGUCUUGGCUGAGAAAGCUUUGAUGGCUCCAUGAGAACUAGCCAUUAGCUUUAUUUGUGCCUUCAAAAGGGAAUCUUGGAUGAUCUUGUAUAUGGAAAGCUUCUGGAUGUAGCCAUGGUCAAGAAGUCUUCCUGAUAUGUCUCUGAGUUGUCUAGAUGAAGAAUAUGGCCGUUGGUCUUGAAUAAAUAAUUGUAGAAACUCCUUCAAAGCAUUUAGUGUAGAUGCUGCCAAAUAUGGAAGGUUGAUGGGAAGAGAGAUCCGCCUGAUCUC
This 819-nucleotide long non-coding RNA is filed under the name Brassica napus (rape). RNAcentral describes it as "long non-coding RNA (BNAP_LNC023574)". The record is from RNAcentral. Lineage: Eukaryota; Viridiplantae; Streptophyta; Magnoliopsida; Brassicales; Brassicaceae.